AUGUUGCGCGCGGGAGGAAGCCGGCUCGUCGCCCCCGGACUCCGGCGUCUCCUCGGCCCGGGCGCCGGCGAGAGGGCGGCGCCGGGGCUGGCGGCGGCGGGGGCGAGGGCGUACCACGAGCGGGUGGUGGACCACUACAACAACCCGCGGAACGUCGGGUCUUUCGACAAGGACGACCCCAACGUCGGCACCGGGCUGGUCGGCGCGCCGGCCUGCGGCGACGUCAUGAAGCUGCAGAUCCGUUUCGACGAAGGCACCGGGAAGAUCGUCGACGCCUGCUUCAAGACCUUCGGCUGCGGCUCCGCAAUCGCCUCGUCCUCCGUCGCUACUGAAUGGGUGAAGGGAAAGCAAAUGGAGGAAGUAGUGAGUAUCAAGAACACUGAGAUUGCAAAGCACUUGUCACUUCCACCAGUAAAGCUCCAUUGCAGUAUGCUUGCUGAAGAUGCAAUUAAAGCUGCCGUGAAAGAUUAUGAAUCAAAGAAGGCGAAGCUGGGAGACAGCCCUGCAGAGAAGGCUGCCGAAGCAUGA
RNAcentral lists this ribosomal RNA (528 nucleotides) under Triticum aestivum (bread wheat). RNAcentral's name for it is "partial small subunit ribosomal RNA". Lineage: Eukaryota; Viridiplantae; Streptophyta; Magnoliopsida; Poales; Poaceae. The record is from RNAcentral.